AUUAUCACCUAUAUGCCUCUUCCAUUGUUUAGCUCCUUUCAGUUCGUGAACCCUAAACUGUCUUGAUGAAACCCUAACUUCUUUUCAAGUUUCAAUGAAGUAUCCGGAGAUGGAUAAAACUUUGCUUUCUAUUCUUCUAGAGAUGUUUCUUGCCGGGAGAAGCUGAGCUUCUUGAUUCAGUAGGAACUCACAAGAGACUAUCCAUGAUUAACAGGCCAAACAACAUUGCGGUUCUUUGUGCACUCACCUUCUGCAGCUCCAAAUGCUACUUUACCUGAUUAGCUGUCGUUAGUCCUCCACGAAGAUUCUUUGGUGCUAUUUCAGCUAUGAACACAGGUAGGUGAAGAAGGGAGUAGCUAGAAGUAGUGAUGGCAACUUAAACCUGGUUCCAGUUCCCCCGUUCAGAAAAAAGGAAAAAGAAUGGAGUGGCUGUGCUCAAAAUGUUACUUACACAUGAUCCAAACUCAAAAGAGCCACACACUGCGACAAAUGUACUAAGCAAAAC
Molecule: long non-coding RNA, 505 nt
Organism: Papaver somniferum (opium poppy)
Lineage: Eukaryota; Viridiplantae; Streptophyta; Magnoliopsida; Ranunculales; Papaveraceae
Exons: 3
Source: RefSeq, a predicted model, not a curated record